Molecule: ribosomal RNA, 253 nt
Filed under: uncultured bacterium
Lineage: Bacteria
Description: partial 16S ribosomal RNA
Rfam family: Bacterial small subunit ribosomal RNA
Source: RNAcentral
UACGUAGGGUGCAAGCGUUGUCCGGAAUUAUUGGGCGUAAAGAGCUCGUAGGCGGUUUGUCGCGUCUGCUGUGAAAACUCGGGGCUUAACUCCGGGCCUGCAGUGGGUACGGGCAGACUAGAGUGCGGUAGGGGAGACUGGAAUUCCUGGUGUAGCGGUGAAAUGCGCAGAUAUCAGGAGGAACACCAAUGGCGAAGGCAGAUCUCUGGGCCGUAACUGACGCUGAGGAGCGAAAGCAUGGGGAGCGAACAGG